Molecule: unclassified non-coding RNA, 185 nt
Filed under: soil metagenome
Description: partial internal transcribed spacer 1
Source: RNAcentral
CCGAGUGCGGGCCCCUCGCGGCCCAACCUCCCACCCUUGUCUCUAUACACCUGUUGCUUUUGGGCGGGCCCACCGGGGGCCACCUGGUCGCCGGGGGACGUACGUCCCCGGGCCCGCGCCCCGCCGAAGGCGCGCUGUGAAACCCUGAUGAAGAUGGGCUGUCUGAGUACUAUGAAAAUUGUCAA